Molecule: long non-coding RNA, 448 nt
Organism: Onychostoma macrolepis
Lineage: Eukaryota; Metazoa; Chordata; Actinopteri; Cypriniformes; Cyprinidae
Exons: 3
Source: RefSeq, a predicted model, not a curated record
AGUGGAACUACAGCGAUUCAGCGGUGACCGGCGCAGAUCCAAGCAGCUGGAGGAUCCGGAGAGAUUUCUGAAGCGAUUCGAAUGCUCCUUACGUGGACUGGCUUCCUUUAUAUCUUCUUAAGAUUUUUAAGACGAGGCUGUGCAGGACAGUAGAAGCCGUUGAAGUUUUGACUGUGGGUUUGCACUCUCUCACCCACGCUCUGUCUCCAGAAGCUGCAGGGGUUUUGCUGAGUUGGCAAAAACGCGUCGCGACGCAGGAACAGAAAUAAACUGUCGGCGUUCAAGAACUCCAACACACGCACAUCUUGUCCUCACUGGACCUCCAACAGACACUCGGCUCAGCAUGGUGACGGUUCUUCUUGAAGGUUCUGAGGAAGCAGAAGCCCACGUGACAAGGUUUGAAUGAAAAAUGUUGGUCUUUCCCACCCUCUUGCUGGUCUUGUUGAAC